GACGAACCGUGCGACCGUUGUUCGGAAUCACUGGGCUUAAAGGGCGCGUAGGCGGGUCGAAAAGUCCGUGGUGAAAUCCCCCCGCUCAACGGGGGAACGGCCGCGGAUACUGUCGGCCUUGAGGGAGGUAGGGGCGAGCGGAACGCUGGGUGGAGCGGUGAAAUGCGUUGAUAUCAGGAGGAACACCGGUGGCGAAGGCGGGUCUCUGGGCCGAUACUGACGCUGAGGAGCGAAAGCGUGGGGAGCGAACAGG
RNAcentral lists this ribosomal RNA (253 nucleotides) under uncultured bacterium. Its description in RNAcentral is "partial 16S ribosomal RNA". It matches the Rfam family "Bacterial small subunit ribosomal RNA", at positions 524 to 776 of the family's 1533-position model. The record is from RNAcentral.